AACGAACGCUGGCGGCAUGCCUAACACAUGCAAGUCGAGCGCCCGUAGCAAUACGGGAGCGGCGCACGGGUGAGUAACGCGUGGGAACCUGCCCAGAGGUUCGGGACAACCGCGGGAAACUGCGGCUGAUACCGGAUGAUACCUGAGGGUCAAAGAUUUAUCGCCUUUGGAGGGGCCCGCGUCGGAUUAGGUAGUUGGUGGGGUAACGGCCUACCAAGCCUAUGAUCCGUAACUGGUCUGAGAGGAUGACCCAGUCACACUGGGACUGAGACACGGCCCAGACUCCUACGGGAGGCAGCAGUGGGGAGUAUUGGACAAUGGGGGGCAACCCUGAUCCAGCAAUGCCGCGUGGGUGAUGAAGGCCUUCGGGUUGGUAAAGCCCUUUCGGCGGGGACGAUGAUGACGGUACCCGCAGAGAAGCCCCGGCUAACUUCGUGCCAGCAGCCGC
Molecule: ribosomal RNA, 448 nt
Filed under: uncultured bacterium
Lineage: Bacteria
Description: bacterial SSU rRNA
Rfam family: Bacterial small subunit ribosomal RNA
Source: RNAcentral